Molecule: ribosomal RNA, 742 nt
Filed under: Iheringascaris inquies
Lineage: Eukaryota; Metazoa; Nematoda; Chromadorea; Rhabditida; Raphidascarididae
Description: eukaryotic LSU rRNA
Rfam family: Eukaryotic large subunit ribosomal RNA
Source: RNAcentral
CGAGGAUUCCCCUAGUAACGGCGAGUGAACGGGGAAAAGCCCAGCGCUGAAUCCUUCGGCCACAGGUCGCUUGGAAUUGUAGCGUAUAGGUGCGGCUGUCCGUCUGUUUCGCUUACCCAAAGUCCCCUUGAGCGGGGCUACUGUCCAAAGAAGGUGCUAGACCUGUACGGGUGGCGAGACGGUCGGUUGGUUGCUCCUUGGAGUCGGGUUGCCUGGGAUCGCAGCCCAAAGUUGGUGGUAGACCUCAUCUAAGGCUAAAUAUGGCCACGAAACCGAUAGCAAACAAGUACCGUGAGGGAAAGUUGCAAAGAACUUUGAAGAGAGAGUUCAAGAGGGCGUGAAACCGCUGAGAUUGAAACGGAUAGAGUUGACGGAACUCGGCUGCAUUCACUUGAUCUGCCUAGCGGCCCGACGGGACUGGCUUCCUCGAUGAGGGCGGUUCUGUUGGUAGCUGUUGGGUGCUUGAUUGAUGUAUUUGCGGCCGGUAUGCGCUGAGAGCCUUGUGGUCGCAUGUUGACAAGUGCGUAGUGGACCAUUCCUUCCGGGCGUGGAACCCUCCGCGCUUUGAGGCAUGUUGGCCAUGAGGUUUUGAACGUGAGCGUCUCCGCUAUGGUGCAUCGGCUUUGUCGGGCUGUUGUGGCUGUGGGAUGUCGCAUGCGACGUUCUGUGGUCGGCGAUGGCGUGAUAGAGUGCGGAUGCGUCGAGACGUAUAUCUCGGUGUGAACGUUGACCACCUAUCCGA